RNAcentral lists this small RNA (360 nucleotides) under Arabidopsis thaliana (thale cress). RNAcentral's name for it is "ATSL028340". Lineage: Eukaryota; Viridiplantae; Streptophyta; Magnoliopsida; Brassicales; Brassicaceae. The record is from RNAcentral.
AAUUAUAACACAUUAGUCAGACAACAUAAAAAAAACUUAUAACUCAUCUUCUUCUUAUAACUCAUCUUCUUCUUAUAACUCAUCAUCUUCUUCUUCUUCUUUUGUUGAAGAGUAAAUUCACCAAGAGAGCCGACAUGGAGAUAGAGAAGAUGAUUGUUGGGUCUGCGGUUUGUGAUAGAUGGAGAUUUAGGGUUUAAAUUUGUUUUAACACACAAAACGACGUCGUUUUGUCCUUGCAAUAAACGACGUCGUUUUGUCUCUGUAAUAAAUGACGUCGUUUUGUCUCUGUAAUAAACGACGUCGUUUUGUCUCUACAAUAAACGACGUCGUUUUGUCUCUACAAUAAAUGACGUCGUCAUA